AGUGGCGGACGGGUGAGUAACGCGUGGGUAACCUACCCUGUACAGGGGGAUAACAGUCAGAAAUGACUGCUAAUACCGCAUAAGACCACAGCACCGCAUGGUGCAGGGGUAAAAACUCCGGUGGUACAGGAUGGACCCGCGUCUGAUUAGCUGGUUGGUGAGGUAACGGCUCACCAAGGCGACGAUCAGUAGCCGGCUUGAGGGAGUGAACGGCCACAUUGGGACUGAGACACGGCCCAAACUCCUACGGGAGGCAGCAUG
RNAcentral lists this ribosomal RNA (261 nucleotides) under uncultured bacterium. Its description in RNAcentral is "partial 16S ribosomal RNA". It matches the Rfam family "Bacterial small subunit ribosomal RNA", at positions 94 to 353 of the family's 1533-position model. The record is from RNAcentral.